RNAcentral lists this unclassified non-coding RNA (262 nucleotides) under Hevea brasiliensis (rubber tree). The record is from RNAcentral. Lineage: Eukaryota; Viridiplantae; Streptophyta; Magnoliopsida; Malpighiales; Euphorbiaceae.
CUCUCCUCCUCAAAAUUAGCCAAUGACUCCUCCAAGUAUAGAACUGCAUCAACAGGGGUGUUCUGAUUACUAGUUUCUUGAUGGUUAUAGAAACCAUUUUCUUCUUUCCUUUCAUGAUUCAAGUCAACAGAUAGUCCAUCGCUAUCCUCUGAAUUGCUACAAGAAGCUGAGGAAGUUCCACUUCUUGUGCUACUUUCUUUCCUUCUUUUCAACAUCAUUAAUUUCCCUUUUGUCUCAUAUUCUUGCAGCUUCUUUCGACACA